Molecule: ribosomal RNA, 492 nt
Filed under: uncultured bacterium
Lineage: Bacteria
Description: partial 16S ribosomal RNA
Rfam family: Bacterial small subunit ribosomal RNA
Source: RNAcentral
AGUGAACGCUGGCGGUAGGCCUAACACAUGCAAGUCGAACGGCAGCACAGUAAGAGCUUGCUCUUACGGGUGGCGAGUGGCGGACGGGUGAGGUAUACAUCGGAAUCUACUUUUUCGUGGGGGAUAACGUAGGGAAACUUACGCUAAUACCGCAUACGACCUACGGGUGAAAGUAGGGGUUCUUCGGACCUUGUGCGAUUUAAUGAGCCGAUGUCGGAUUAGCUAGUUGGCGGGGUAAAGGCCCACCAAGGCGACGAUCCGUAGCUGGUCUGAGAGGAUGAUCAGCCACACUGGAACUGAGACACGGCCCAGACUCCUACGGGAGGCAGCAGUGGGGAAUAUUGGACAAUGGGCGCAAGCCUGAUCCAGCCAUACCGCGUGGGUGAAGAAGGCCUUCGGGUUGUAAAGCCCUUUUGUUGGGAAAGAAAAGCAGCAGGUUAAUACCCCGCUGUUCUGACGGUACCCAAAGAAUAAGCACCGGCUAACUUCGUG